GACGGAGGAUGCAAGCGUUAUCCGGAAUUAUUGGGCGUAAAGCGUCCGUAGGCGGUUUCAAAAGUCUGUUGUUAAAGCCCACAGCUCAACUGUGGAUCGGCAAUGGAAACUGUGAGACUAGAGAGUGGUAGGGGUAGAGGGAAUUCCUAGUGUAGCGGUGAAAUGUGUUGAUAUUGGCAGGAACACCGGAGGCGAAAGCGGCACACUGGGGAAUUACUGACGCUGAGGCACGAAAGCCAAGGGAGCGAACGGG
Molecule: ribosomal RNA, 253 nt
Filed under: uncultured bacterium
Lineage: Bacteria
Description: partial 16S ribosomal RNA
Rfam family: Bacterial small subunit ribosomal RNA
Source: RNAcentral